This 1338-nucleotide ribosomal RNA is filed under the name uncultured bacterium. RNAcentral's name for it is "partial 16S ribosomal RNA". It matches the Rfam family "Bacterial small subunit ribosomal RNA", at positions 26 to 1377 of the family's 1533-position model. The record is from RNAcentral.
CGGAUAACGCUGGCGGCGUGCCUAACACAUGCAAGUCGAACGCGCCCGGGGGGGCAACCCUCUGGGUGAGUGGCGGACGGGUGAGUAACACGUGGGUUAUCUACCUUGAGGUGAGGAAUACCGGCGAGAAAUCGCCGACAAUACCGCAUACGUUUGGCUUUACCAAACAAAGUCCCGAGACUCGGGACGCCACAAGAUGAGCCUGCGCCCGAUUAGUUAGUUGGUGGAGUAACGGUCUACCAAGGCGACGAUCGGUAGCUGGUCUGAGAGGACGAUCAGCCACACUGGGAUUGAGAACGGCCCAGACUCCUACGGGAGGCAGCAGUGGGGAAUAUUGCGCAAUGGACGAAAGUCUGACGCAGCGACGCCGCGUGAGGGAUGACGGCCUUCGGGUUGUAAACCUCUUUCACCAUCGACGAAGCCUUUGGGUGACGGUAGGUGGGGAAGAAGCACCGGCUAACUACGUGCCAGCAGCCGCGGUAAUACGUAGGGUGCGAGCGUUGUCCGGAAUUAUUGGGCGUAAAGAACUCGUAGGCGGUUUGUUGCGUCGGCCGUGAAAACUAGAGGCUUAACUUUUAGCUUGCGGUCGAUACGGGCAGACUUGAGUUCGGUAGGGGAGACUGGAAUUCCUGGUGUAGCGGUGAAAUGCGCAGAUAUCAGGAGGAACACCGGUGGCGAAGGCGGGUCUCUGGGCCGAUACUGACGCUGAGGAGCGAAAGCGUGGGGAGCGAACAGGAUUAGAUACCCUGGUAGUCCACGCUGUAAACGUUGGGCGCUAGGUGUGGGGAGCAUUCCACGUUCUCCGUGCCGUAGCUAACGCAUUAAGCGCCCCGCCUGGGGAGUACGGCCGCAAGGCUAAAACUCAAAGGAAUUGACGGGGGGCCGCACAAGCGGCGGAGCAUGUGGAUUAAUUCGAUGCAACGCGAAGAACCUUACCUGGGCUUGACAUGCAUCAGAUUUCCCCAGAGAUGGGGCUUCCCUUGUGGUUGGUGUACAGGUGGUGCAUGGCUGUCGUCAGCUCGUGUCGUGAGAUGUUGGGUUAAGUCCCGCAACGAGCGCAACCCUCGUUCCAUGUUGCCAGCGCGUGAUGGCGGGGACUCAUGGGAGACUGCCGGGGUCAACUCGGAGGAAGGUGGGGAUGACGUCAAGUCAUCAUGCCCCUUAUGUCCAGGGCUUCACACAUGCUACAAUGGCUCAUACAGAGGGUUGUGAGACCGUGAGGUGGAGCGAAUCCCUUAAAGUGAGUCUCAGUUCGGAUCGGGGUCUGCAACUCGACCCCGUGAAGUCGGAGUCGCUAGUAAUCGCAGAUCAGCAAUGCUGCGGUGAAUACGUUCCCGG